UACAGAGGUCUCAACCGUUGUUCGGAUUCAUUGGGCGUAAAGGGUGCGUAGGCGGUCGUGCAAGUCGGAUGUGAAAUCUCAGGGCUCAACCCUGAAACUGCAUUCGAUACUGCGUGGCUAGAGUGCUGGAGAGGAGACUGGAAUUUACGGUGUAGCAGUGAAAUGCGUAGAUAUCGUAAGGAAGACCAGUGGCGAAGGCGAGUCUCUGGACAGCAACUGACGCUGAGGCACGAAGGCCAAGGGAGCAAACGGG
Molecule: ribosomal RNA, 253 nt
Filed under: uncultured bacterium
Lineage: Bacteria
Description: partial 16S ribosomal RNA
Rfam family: Bacterial small subunit ribosomal RNA
Source: RNAcentral